CCUACGGGUGGCAGCAGCGAGGAGUUUUCCCCAAUGGAGCCGAGGCUCUGAGGGAGCAACGCCGCGUGCAGGACGACGCCCUUCGGGGUGUAAACUGCUUUUGGGCGGGAAGAUGAUGACGGUACCGCCCGAAUAAGUCCCGGCAAACUACGUGCCAGCAGCCGCGGUAACACGUAGGGGGCGAGCGUUAUCCGGAUUUACUGGGCGUAAAGCGCGCGCAGGCGGCGUGGCGAGUCACGCGUGAAAGGCCCCGGCUCAACCGGGGACGUGCGGGUGAGACUGCCGGGCUCGAGCGCGGGAGAGGGAAGCGGAAUCCCCGGUGUAGUGGUGAAAUGCGUAGAUAUCGGGGGGAACACCAGUGGCGAAGGCGGCUUCCUGGCCCGCGGCUGACGCUGAGGCGCGAAGGCCAGGGGAGCGAACGGGAUUAGAUACCCUUGUAG
RNAcentral lists this ribosomal RNA (440 nucleotides) under uncultured bacterium. Its description in RNAcentral is "bacterial SSU rRNA". It matches the Rfam family "Bacterial small subunit ribosomal RNA", at positions 338 to 793 of the family's 1533-position model. The record is from RNAcentral.